This 117-nucleotide ribosomal RNA is filed under the name uncultured bacterium. RNAcentral's name for it is "partial 16S ribosomal RNA". It matches the Rfam family "Bacterial small subunit ribosomal RNA", at positions 1367 to 1482 of the family's 1533-position model. The record is from RNAcentral.
UACGUUCCCGGGCCUUGUACACACCGCCCGUCACACCACGAAAGUCGGCAAUACCCGAAGCCGGUGGCCUAACCCGCAAGGGGGGAGCCGUCGAAGGUAGGGUCGAUGAUUGGGGUG